GGGCUAUUUACUUAUUCGGUGUUGUUUAGUUUAGCUUCCUCAUUGUGGGGUCCUAUGAUUUUUCCGUACUUUUAAUUGUUAAAAAUGCUGAGCUGCUUAUCAAGAAAGGCAGCAUCCUGGGCAAAGAUUUGAACCUUAGACCUAGGCUGGCAUUUCAUUCUUGUUAAAAUUCUUAGUAAUUUUGGUAGCCUUUUGUAGGUUUCUGAAAGAAUAUGGUGCAACUUGGAUUAAUUUGAUUAUGGAAUUAGUGUUAGACUUACCGAUUUUCCUCCUUUCAUUUGCUACUUGUUUUUAUUCAAUAAUAAAAAAGUGGACUAUUACUAUAGUUAUGUUUUUUCAGUUCUUUUUUCCUCUCAUUAUUCCUUGCACUUAGAAUUUGUUUUAUUCUGUGCAGGGAAUUGUUCGCAAGAUCAAUUUU
RNAcentral lists this unclassified non-coding RNA (418 nucleotides) under Hevea brasiliensis (rubber tree). Lineage: Eukaryota; Viridiplantae; Streptophyta; Magnoliopsida; Malpighiales; Euphorbiaceae. The record is from RNAcentral.